This 496-nucleotide ribosomal RNA is filed under the name uncultured bacterium. Its description in RNAcentral is "partial 16S ribosomal RNA". It matches the Rfam family "Bacterial small subunit ribosomal RNA", at positions 29 to 507 of the family's 1533-position model. The record is from RNAcentral.
AUGAACGCUGGCGGCGUGCCUAAUACCUGCAAGUCGCGCGAACAGACGAGGAGCUUGCUCCUCUGACGUUAGCGGCGGACGGGUGAGUAACACGUGGAUAACCUACCUAUAAGACUGGGAUAACUUCGGGAAACCGGAGCUAAUACCGGAUAAUAUAUUGAACCGCAUGGUUCAAUAGUGAAAGACGGUUUUGCUGUCACUUAUAGAUGGAUCCGCGCCGCAUUAGCUAGUUGGUAAGGUAACGGCUUACCAAGGCGACGAUGCGUAGCCGACCUGAGGGGGUGAUCGGCCACACUGGAACUGAGACACGGUCCAGACUCCUACGGGAGGCAGCAGUAGGGAAUCUUCCGCAAUGGGCGAAAGCCUGACGGAGCAACGCCGCGUGAGUGAUGAAGGUCUUCGGAUCGUAAAACUCUGUUAUUAGGGAAGAACAAAUGUGUAAGUAACUAUGCACGUCUUGACGGUACCUAAUCAGAAAGCCACGGCUAACUACGUG